Molecule: long non-coding RNA, 409 nt
Organism: Brassica oleracea var. oleracea
Lineage: Eukaryota; Viridiplantae; Streptophyta; Magnoliopsida; Brassicales; Brassicaceae
Exons: 2
Source: RefSeq, a predicted model, not a curated record
AAAUAUCUUUAUUUCACUAUCGAAGAUGAAAGUUGCUUUCAAACCUUGGCUUAUUGGUUUUUUUAUGCUCACAAUUUUUCUGUUUGGUGAAACGGCGAUAGCUCAGAAAAAAAAAACUGACAACCAAUGUAAUCUUCCAUUAAUAAACAAAAGUGGAACAUGUGCUGCCAACCAGUGUCAAGCCGCAUGUGUCAAAAGGCAUAAAGAUGGGGUAGGUAAAUGCACAACUAAUCCAGACAAAAAAAUGCGAUGCAUAUGUUUUUAUCUUUGCCCUCGCUGAUUCUUUAUCUACACAAAAUUCAAAUAAUAUUUAUAUUAAUAUUAUGUCUUCGUCAAAGAAAAGAAUAAAAGUUUUAAUAAAUUGUUGUUGAUUUUUGGGAUAAUAAGGUGUAUUCAAUGUUUUAAAACU